Long non-coding RNA from Salvia splendens (bonfire salvia), 1275 nucleotides. RefSeq lists it as uncharacterized. The transcript has 2 exons. The record is from RefSeq and is a predicted model, not a curated record. NCBI's taxonomy places the organism in Eukaryota, Viridiplantae, Streptophyta, Magnoliopsida, Lamiales, Lamiaceae.
UAUCCCAUUAUUUUUACCUUACCUCUCUCCAUUCUCACAUCUACAAUUUCUUUUACUUUCACUCUAUAGUUAUAAACAAUGAAUCCAAUAGAAGUUCUCCGAAUUCUGGCAAAAACAACCAAUAUCCCCACGAGAACAACCAAAAUUACUUUCUCUCUGACCUCAGCUUCCCUCUGUACCAUGACAGUCACCCAUACCCCGACAAUGCCUUUAUCGGGGCUAGUAGACCCUUAACCCCGCAGGCAUCCCAAAAUUACAACCAGUGAGGAAGUCUAUCGGCCACCAAUGCUCGGUACUCCCCUGGUUCGGACGGAUGCACAUCUCUUCCGGAGGCCGAUCUGACCUUUAUCGUGUACGAGUACGAGCUGUUUGACAUGCACCCAUCUCCUCCGAAGGAGAAUCCCACUUCCUAGCCGAAGGGAAAGGGGAAGAAAAAAUCGAUAGAGACGUUUGCGCCUACGCCCGAGUGGAAGAGGGAGAGAGGAUGAACUAUACCCGCUAGACUCGAUGGCUCAAGCUUGUGUUGGUCGACAUCUCCAAGGACCUGAUUGUGUCCAACCAACAGGCGAGGAGAGGAUUCUGGGGACGUAUUAGGGAUAUAUACGAACAGGUGAUGACCGCAUGGGCAAAGACCCAUACUCCCGACAAGCUCCACAAGCACUGGGAGCAAAUGAAGCUCCAAAUUGCUAGAUAGCAAGGUCUCUACCUAAACAACCUAAGGAUGCAGAGCAGCAGACAGAGCCUGGAGGAUGUCAAAGAGUUGACGAUGCACAAGUAUACGUUCAACGGGUUGGUGGCGAAUGCGCUGAAGAGGUUGCGGCUCAACGUCUCCUGGAGCUACACCAGUAGCGGCGUAGCUGAGCCAAUCGACUCGAGCGAAGCCUAUGAGGAGAUCUACCUACCCCAUGGCGCCCAAUGGCCGUGAAGGUGGUCAAGUGGAAGGGGAAGGCACCAAUGAGCGGUUAGAAGCCCAAUCGCGUCGGGCCGACGAAAAUGAUGACAUGUCGGAUGUUGCAUCUGCGACGCUUACUAAUACGCUGUUGGGCUGUUACUAGUUGCACAGAUCCGAAACCGAUGAGGAAAUCAAGAAGGAGCUCAGAGCUACCAUCAAGAAGAUCCAGAAAAAAUUGGGUCUAAAUGGUGACAACUUUUGAUGUGUUUCUGUGUUGUUUUUCUAUGCUUUCUACUGUGUUUUUAGUUUAUUUUUUUCUUUAUAUUUUUGUUAAAUGUAGCUUGUUUUUAUUUUUUUUAAAUUAUGUAUGUUUUGUUUUUCUA